Molecule: ribosomal RNA, 441 nt
Filed under: uncultured bacterium
Lineage: Bacteria
Description: SSU rRNA
Rfam family: Bacterial small subunit ribosomal RNA
Source: RNAcentral
AGAGCGAACGCUGGCGGCAGGCCUAACACAUGCAAGUCGAGCGCUCCGCAAGGGGAGCGGCAGACGGGAGAGUAACACGUGGGAACGUACCCUUCAGUUCGGAACAACCCAGGGAAACUUGGGCUAAUACCGAAUACGUCCGUAAGGAGAAAGAUUUAUCGCUGAAGGAUCGGCCCGCGUCUGAUUAGCUUGUUGGUGAGGUAACGGCUCACCAAGGCGACGAUCAGUAGCUGGUCUGAGAGGAUGAUCAGCCUCACUGGGACUGAGACACGGCCCAGACUCCUACGGGAGGCAGCAGUGGGGAAUAUUGGACAAUGGGCGCAAGCCUGAUCCAGCCAUGCCGCGUGGGUGAUGAAGGCCCUAGGGUUGUAAAGCCCUUUCGGCGGGAAGAUAAUGACGGUACCGCAGAAGAAGCCCGGCUAACUUCGUGCCAGCAGCCGC